UACGGGGGGGGCAAGCGUUGUUCGGAAUUACUGGGCGUAAAGGGCGUGUAGGCGGCCAACUAAGUCCGACGUGAAAUCCCCAGGCUUAACCUGGGAACUGCGUCGGAUACUGGAUGGCUUGAAUCCGGGAGAGGGAUGCAGAAUUCCAGGUGUAGCGGUGAAAUGCGUAGAUAUCUGGAGGAAUACCGGUGGCGAAGGCGGCAUCCUGGACCGGCAUUGACGCUGAAGCGCGAAAGCUAGGGGAGCAAACGGG
RNAcentral lists this ribosomal RNA (253 nucleotides) under uncultured bacterium. RNAcentral's name for it is "partial 16S ribosomal RNA". It matches the Rfam family "Bacterial small subunit ribosomal RNA", at positions 524 to 776 of the family's 1533-position model. The record is from RNAcentral.